UACGUAGGUGGCAAGCGAUACUCGGAAUCACUAGGCGUAAAGCGCAGGUAGGCGGUUUGGUAAGUCUCUUGUGAAAGCUCCCGGCUUAACUGGGAGAGGUCAAGUGAAACUACCGGACUUGAGUGUGGUAGGGGAUACUGGAAUUCCUGGUGUAGCGGUGAAAUGCGUAGAUAUCAGGAGGAAUACCUAUGGCGAAAGCAGGUAUCUGGGCCAUCACUGACGCUGAGCUGCGAAAGCUAGGGGAGCAAACAGG
Molecule: ribosomal RNA, 253 nt
Filed under: uncultured bacterium
Lineage: Bacteria
Description: partial 16S ribosomal RNA
Rfam family: Bacterial small subunit ribosomal RNA
Source: RNAcentral